Micropterus dolomieu (smallmouth bass) is the source of this 1563-nucleotide long non-coding RNA. RefSeq lists it as uncharacterized. The transcript is spliced from 4 exons. NCBI's taxonomy places the organism in Eukaryota, Metazoa, Chordata, Actinopteri, Centrarchiformes, Centrarchidae. The record is from RefSeq and is a predicted model, not a curated record.
UUCUGCCGGACAGGCGAGUAACGUUAGCUUCGCUGUUCCACGUAAACGCCAGCUUCAGCGUUACCGUCUGUUGUCAUGGUCGUGAUGAUCCCGGCUGGUUAGCGUUGUUAGCUUAGCCCCGGGUGAACGGAGAGAAACGGGUCAGCUCCGUGUUCAGCAGUAAAUGUACAGUAGAAGCUCCAGAGGCCGGUGAAGAAAGACUGCAGCUCCUCCGGACUAAAGAGGAGCUCCUGUGUGCUGCUGCCAACUGUUGAAUAAAGAGUGAAGGAGUUUGGCCCCAAAGUUAGCACUGACUUCGGCCCUGGAGGACGUGUCGGGGGCUAGCUGGUUAGCAACACAAUACACAGACAUCUUUGACACGAGUUAUCCAUUAAAGCCGCUUCGACUUCGACUGACGCAUCGCGCCCCAGGCUCCAGAGGCGGCUGUGACAGCAUCUGACAGCGGGAUGAGAGGCAGGUACACUGGGCAGCGUGUGAUUGGCGCUGCGUUAAGAGACUGCUCCUGGCUGUGAUUGGUUGUUUUGAUUCUUGCAGAUGCUUUCAGGAGCAGUAGGAGGAGGAGCCAGAGGAACCGGUUUAUCUGUCUCAUGUUCUGCCGUCAGGAUACAGUGACAGUUUCAGCAAAUAUGUUAUUUUUGUAAAAGAAUUCCCUGCUGCUGCUUUAACAUAAUAAUGAAAUGCUAAAAGGGCAUCGACUAUUUUUACUUUUAAUACUUUCAAGUACAUUUUCCUGAUCAUACUUAAAUACUUUUACUCUCUCCAGCACUGGUGAACAUAGGUGUCAUUUACACUGGGGACCACUUUUUGAAAGCUUUUGCUAAAAGGUUUUCUGAAAAUUAGCUUGCAACACAAAAUGUUAAAUAGCAAGUACAAAUUCUAUGAGAAAGGUUUACUUGCACAAUAGGAAAACAUCCCAUAAAUUGGUGCAGAAAAUGUCUCCAGAACGCAGGAAAUCGAGAGUUUAAUGCUCACAAUCUUGGGAGUAUCUACCUCAAUAUUGUGCUUUCUCACGUUUCGUGGCCUAAGUGUUUAAUCACACCCCUCAUAUGAGCCCUUAAAUGUCCCCAACACCUUUCAACACAAAGUGACGCCCUUGCUCGUGAGUAGUACUGACCAAACCGUGGCUGGUUUCUGUUUUCCAGAACGUUGCUGAGGUACGGAGACACGACGAUCUCCACCAGACGUUCCAACUGCACCAGCAGCAUCUGUGUGACAGGUGGAGGGACGGACGCUGCAGUUCCCAGAGUUUCCUCCAGGUGGAGCUUCAGCAGCACCAGGUCUCUGAAGGCCACCAGAGCCAUCUGCCUCACCGUCAGCUCCUGACCCUGAACACACAGGUGCAUUUACAUCACUUCUGGGGACAUUACACUGACACGCAUUCAUUUCCUGGAUACCUAAACCUACGCCUGACCCAAGUCUUCACUCUGAAAUGUAAUGUUUUUUAUUUUAUGUUUGCAUUUUGGCCCCAUGACGUUGGUUGUGCGGCGGUGUUGGGGGCGUGUUUAUUUGUGCUUAAGACCUUAACCGCUGUGAAACACUCAGAAAAUAAAGUUUUAUUUCUCA